This 465-nucleotide ribosomal RNA is filed under the name Vreelandella stevensii. RNAcentral describes it as "partial 16S ribosomal RNA". It matches the Rfam family "Bacterial small subunit ribosomal RNA", at positions 338 to 795 of the family's 1533-position model. The record is from RNAcentral. Lineage: Bacteria; Pseudomonadati; Pseudomonadota; Gammaproteobacteria; Oceanospirillales; Halomonadaceae.
CCUACGGGGGGCUGCAGUGGGGAAUAUUGGACAAUGGGGGGAACCCUGAUCCAGCCAUGCCGCGUGUGUGAAGAAGGCCCUCGGGUUGUAAAGCACUUUCAGUGAGGAAGAACGCCUGGUGGUUAAUACCCAUCAGGAAAGACAUCACUCACAGAAGAAGCACCGGCUAACUCCGUGCCAGCAGCCGCGGUAAUACGGAGGGUGCGAGCGUUAAUCGGAAUUACUGGGCGUAAAGCGCGCGUAGGUGGCUUGAUAAGCCGGUUGUGAAAGCCCCGGGCUCAACCUGGGAACGGCAUCCGGAACUGUCAAGCUAGAGUGCAGGAGAGGAAGGUAGAAUUCCCGGUGUAGCGGUGAAAUGCGUAGAGAUCGGGAGGAAUACCAGUGGCGAAGGCGGCCUUCUGGACUGACACUGACACUGAGGAGCGAAAGCGUGGGUAGCAAACAGGAUUAGAUACCCUUGUAGUC